Molecule: ribosomal RNA, 393 nt
Filed under: uncultured bacterium
Lineage: Bacteria
Description: partial 16S ribosomal RNA
Rfam family: Bacterial small subunit ribosomal RNA
Source: RNAcentral
AUACGUAGGGGGCAAGCGUUAUCCGGAUUUACUGGGCGUAAAGGGCGUGUAGGCGGUCUUGCAAGUCAGAAGUGAAAUUCCUGAGCUCAACUCGGGCGCUGCUUCUGAAACUGCAGGACUUGAGUGCUGGAGGGGAUAGCGGAAUUCCUAGUGGAGCGGUAAAAUGCGCAGAUAUUAGGAAGAACACCGGUGGCGAAGGCGGCUAUCUGGACAGUAACUGACGCUGAGGCGCGAAAGCGUGGGGAGCAAACAGGAUUAGAUACCCUGGUAGUCCACGCAGUAAACGAUGAUGGCUAACCGCUGGGCUUAUCAGUUCAGUGGCCAAGCGAAAGCGAUAAGCCAUCCACCUGGGGAGUACGACCGCAAGGUUGAAACUCAAAGGAAUUGACGGGG